Molecule: small nuclear RNA, 106 nt
Organism: Spermophilus dauricus (Daurian ground squirrel)
Lineage: Eukaryota; Metazoa; Chordata; Mammalia; Rodentia; Sciuridae
Source: Ensembl
GUGCUCACUUCAGCAGCACAUAUACUUAAAUUAGAAUGAUACAGAAAAGAUUAGCAUGGCCCCAUGCAAGGAUAACAGGUAAAUUUGUGAAGUGUUCCAUAUUUUU